RNAcentral lists this ribosomal RNA (253 nucleotides) under uncultured bacterium. RNAcentral describes it as "partial 16S ribosomal RNA". It matches the Rfam family "Bacterial small subunit ribosomal RNA", at positions 524 to 776 of the family's 1533-position model. The record is from RNAcentral.
UACAGAGGUCCCAAGCGUUGUUCGGAUUCACUGGGCGUAAAGGGUGCGUAGGCGGUUGGGUAAGUCUGAUGUGAAAGCUCGGAGCUUAACUCCGAAAUGGCAUCGGAUACUAUCCGACUAGAGGAAUGGAGGGGAGACUGGAAUACUUGGUGUAGCAGUGAAAUGCGUAGAUAUCAAGUGGAACACCAGUGGCGAAGGCGGCUCUCUGGGACGGUACUGACGCUGAGACGCGAAAGCGUGGGGAGCGAACAGG